CCUGCUAAUCGGAGAAAUGAUUAACUAAGCUUGUGAACGACUCAAACUAAGACUAUUGCGGACAGGGGUUCGACUCCCCUCGGGUCCACCA
Molecule: transfer-messenger RNA, 91 nt
Filed under: Maribacter sp.
Lineage: Bacteria; Pseudomonadati; Bacteroidota; Flavobacteriia; Flavobacteriales; Flavobacteriaceae
Description: partial transfer-messenger RNA
Rfam family: transfer-messenger RNA
About the family: Bacterial tmRNA, also known as 10Sa RNA or SsrA, is named for its dual tRNA and mRNA-like properties.
Source: RNAcentral